RNAcentral lists this transfer RNA (59 nucleotides) under Elymus repens. RNAcentral describes it as "partial tRNA-Leu". It matches the Rfam family "tRNA", at positions 25 to 71 of the family's 71-position model. From Rfam's summary of the family: Transfer RNA (tRNA) molecules are approximately 80 nucleotides in length. RNAcentral also lists the same sequence under 1 other name. Lineage: Eukaryota; Viridiplantae; Streptophyta; Magnoliopsida; Poales; Poaceae. The record is from RNAcentral.
UACGGACUUAAAAUCCGUCGACUUUAUAAGUUGUGAGGGUUCAAGUCCCUCUAUCCCCA